GAAACUGAGGCUUGGUUUCCCGAGAGCGCAGCUUGUCACGCGCAAGGCUUGUGACCUUAGCAGUCACUUCUGUUGAGGAGCUCCAUUCUCUUGUGUUGUAAACCGAGACCUAAAGGAACGCGUAGUGUUGCUCGCUGAAAUCUUCCGGCUGGCCCGGCAAGUGGCGCCCAACAGCGUGGAGCUCAACGAAAGUUCCUUGCGGCCGCUGCCCGUUGAAACUAUUAAGAGUACAUCAUACAAAACGCUUGGCUGGAAGAAGCACAAGCUGGAAUCAAGAUUGCCGGGAGAAAUAUCAAUAACCUCAGAUAUGCAGAUGAUACCACCCUUAUGGCAGAAAGUGAAGAGGAACUAAAGAGCCUCUUGAUGAGAGUGAAAGAGGAGACUGAAAAAUCUGGCUUAAAACUCAGCAUUCAAAAAACUAAGAUCAUGGCAUCUGGUCCCAUCACCUCAUGGCAAAUAGAUUGGGAAACAGUGGAAACAGUGACAGACUUUAUUUUCUUGGGCUCCAAAAUCACUGCAGAUAGUGACCGCAGCCGUGAAAUUAAAAGACGCUUGCUCCUUGGAAAAAAAGCUAUGACAAACCUAGACAGCAUAUUAAAAAGCAGGGACAUUACUUUACCGACAAGGGUCCAAAUAUUCAAAGCUAUGGUUUUUCCAGUAGUCAUGUAUGGAUGUGAGAGUUGGACUAUAAAGAAAGCUGAGUGCCGAAGAAUUGGUGCUUUUGAGUGGUGUUGGAGAAGACUCUUGAGAAUCCCUUGGACAGAUCCAACCAGUCAAUCCUAAAGGAAAUCAGUCCUGAAUAUCCAUUGGAAGGACUGAUGCUGAACCUGAAACUCCAAUGUGUUGGCCACCUGAUGCAAAGAACUGACUCAUUGGAAAAGACCCUGAUGCUGGGAAGGCAGCGGGGGGAAGGGGAUGACAGAGGACGAGAUGGUUGGAUGGUAUCACCAACUGGAUGGACAUGAGUUUGAGUAAGCUCCGGGAGUUGGUGAUGGACAGGGAAGCCUGGCGUGCUGCAGUCCAUGGGGUCACAAAGAAUGAGACAUGAAUGAGUGACUGAACAACAGCAGCAGGUAUAUGUCUUUAGUUUGCCACCUUAAGAUAUGUCAAAGGGAUGUGUGUGGCCAGAGGAGGUUUUGUAAUGUUUGUUUUGCUAGUAGUUAAAUGUUUGUGUAUUUCAAACUGUAUUCAGUUACUUGCCUACAGUUAUCUCCAUGAGGAAAUAGAAGGCAGUUACAUUGGUUAAAUGUUGUAAUUUAUAUGCUAAGAGAGUAGAACCUAAUGUUCUCAGCACACAAAGGGAAUGGUAACUAUGUGAUGGGAUGGAGGUCGUAGCUAAUGCUAUGGUGGGAAUAAUUUUACAGUUUAUAAAUGUAUCAAAUCAACAUGUUCUACAUUUUAAACUAUACAAUGUUAAGUGCCAAUUAUAUCUCAGUAGAGGUGGCAAAAAAGAGAAAUGGGUAUGAUCUUUUUUUAAAAAAAUUGCAGCAUAGUUGAUUUACAAUGUGUUAAUUCAGGUGUACAGCACAGUGAUUUAUAUGUUAUAUAUAAAUGUGUAAUCUUUUCCAGAUUCUUUUCCAUUAUAGGUUAUUACAAGAUACUGGAUAUAAGUUCCCUAUGCUGCACAACAGGACCUUGAUGUUCACCUGUUUUGUGUAUAGUACUCUGUUAAUCCCAAACUACUAGUUUAUCCCUCCUACCCCAUCCCCUUUGGCAACUCUAAGUUUGU
Dama dama (fallow deer) is the source of this 1729-nucleotide long non-coding RNA. RefSeq lists it as uncharacterized. The transcript has 3 exons. The record is from RefSeq and is a predicted model, not a curated record. Lineage: Eukaryota; Metazoa; Chordata; Mammalia; Artiodactyla; Cervidae.